UGAGUGUUAUGAUGAUGGAGGCUCGUCCUCUUAGUCUAGCUCUGGUCUACCGCUAGGUUUUUCCUAGCGG
Molecule: regulatory RNA element, 70 nt
Organism: Streptococcus sp. DD10
Lineage: Bacteria; Bacillati; Bacillota; Bacilli; Lactobacillales; Streptococcaceae
Rfam family: L17 ribosomal protein downstream element
Source: Rfam